GUGAGGAAUAUUGGUCAAUGGGCGAGAGCCUGAACCAGCCAAGUCGCGUGAAGGAAGAAGGAUCUAUGGUUCGUAAACUUCUUUUGCGGGGGAAUAAAGUGCGGGACGUGUCCUGUUUUGUAUGUACCCUGAGAAUAAGGAUCGGCUAACUCCGUGCCAGCAGCCGCGGUAAUACGGAGGAUCCGAGCGUUAUCCGGAUUUAUUGGGUUUAAAGGGUGCGUAGGUGGUUUGAUAAGUCAGCGGUGAAAGUUUGCAGCUUAACUGUAAAAAUGCCGUUGAAACUGUCGGACUUGAGUGUAAAUGAGGUAGGCGGAAUGCGUGGUGUAGCGGUGAAAUGCAUAGAUAUCACGCAGAACUCCGAUUGCGAAGGCAGCUUACUAAGCUACAACUGACACUGAAGCACGAAAGCGUGGGGAUCAAACAGGAUUAGAAACCCUAGUAGUCC
Molecule: ribosomal RNA, 445 nt
Filed under: uncultured bacterium
Lineage: Bacteria
Description: partial 16S ribosomal RNA
Rfam family: Bacterial small subunit ribosomal RNA
Source: RNAcentral